GAACAUGUAUUUCUUCUUUCAUCUUCAUUACAUCUGAGGAAGUGGAGCGUAACAGCAGACAAGAACAGAAGAAAAAGAAGCCUUUCAGGUGGACGACUUUAGAAAAGGACAAUGAGAACAUUGCAAUCUGGACAAAGAAAAACGAAUCCUAUCACAAGGCCAGUUGUAGCCACCAGAGGAAGGGGUGUGAAAGAACAGGGAAGUGGAAGAGGAAAGGACGGAAGAAAGGAAGAAGGGGAAAAUAUAAAAGAAGAGAAAGAAGUGACCCGUCAAGCCCACUCCAUUCAUCAUCUUGGGGAAAAAUAGCUGCUUUAGUUUUUUUCUGCUGACCAGCUAAAACAUCCCAUGGCAGACCAAACCACCUGGACAAUGUUAUAUUGUUAAAAUAGCUGCACUUCAGGGAUGUAGUCACAAGAAGCUGCAGGCCAGCACAGGAGUAGAAAAAAGAUAUUCCAGAGGAAAAGACUAUACAACUGGAGUUACAUGACAGAUCUGAAUUAAAAGGUUUUCACUUCACAUAUAUGUUCGUAAAUCUUACGUAUAGAAGACAUCACUUCCUCUCUUUGCUUCACUUUCUCAUUUUGGUUUGCUGAUUGCAUUACCCUCUAAGCAUUAUUGUUUGGAAAUGGAUAGAAACUUUUGUUUUCAGCUACUACAGUUUGUUUGGUUCACACCACAGUUUAGAUGAACUUCCAAACCUGCACAAAUUAAGCAGACUGUCCAUUGUGAAAGCCUCAUGGAUGAGCUUCUGCACAGUGUUUCAGCUAGUUGCCAUAUUGCCAAUGUGAUGCAAUAUACUGUAUUUUUAAGUUACACUUACACUUGCAGCAGUGAACUGUGUUCACUGCCUAUAGCUUUCAAAAGUUGGCUAUAGGCUAACUUUCUCAUUGAACAACUCUCAUAAAACCAGGAGGGUUUGAGGAAGAAAAUAAUACUUGU
Molecule: long non-coding RNA, 939 nt
Organism: Xiphophorus couchianus (Monterrey platyfish)
Lineage: Eukaryota; Metazoa; Chordata; Actinopteri; Cyprinodontiformes; Poeciliidae
Exons: 4
Source: RefSeq, a predicted model, not a curated record